Long non-coding RNA from Cannabis sativa, 2375 nucleotides. RefSeq lists it as uncharacterized. The transcript is spliced from 4 exons. The record is from RefSeq and is a predicted model, not a curated record. NCBI's taxonomy places the organism in Eukaryota, Viridiplantae, Streptophyta, Magnoliopsida, Rosales, Cannabaceae.
AUUUUCAUUUAUACGUUUACUUAUUUCUAAAACAAAUUAUUUCCCCUUUUCAGCUUCUUCCUCCACGCAAGAGAGAGCUUCACAAGGCCACCUUCUGCAUCCAAACCUCUCGAAUUCGGCGCAUCAACCACCAGAUGCAACCCUCCCAUUCCCUUACUCGAACUCUCUAUCGACCCUUUCUUCUGUUGCUCACUCAUCAAAGUUAUCGUAGAAGUAUAAACAUUAUCAACCUCCUUCUCUAACUGAUCGGAGAGAAGGAAUUCUAUUUGAGUAUAGUCAAGUGACAUAUGGGUCGUUGGGUUGUUGAACUCGGGUCCAUUACCACAUUCACAGGUACGAGUUUAUUAUUUGUACCUUUCAUCUAUUUCAUUUCUCUUCUCUUUUCAUAUUUUUUUUUAUUUAUCUCUGCAUAUAUUUGUUCCUAUGGUUCUCUACGGUUGUAAUUUUAUUUUUAUUCUCUAAUUAGUGAUUAAGUAAUUAAAUCAAUUUGUGCUUUGUUCUUUGAAUGCUGAGAGUUGAGAUGAGACCAUUAGUAUGAAAAAUAGUCAUAGUCAAGUGAUUGUCUCUAUUUUGUAGAGUUCUAUAUUGAUUCUAGGUCUUUCUAACAGGGCUACGAUUUAGUUAUUAUCCGUUUGUUUUUUUUUUUUUUUGUAAUAAUCAAGUAUUCCCCUCAAACUCCAUUCUUUUUCCUAGCUCAUGGAUUCACAUUUUAAGUUUGUUUUGCUUUUGUUCAUUACUUUAGGGAUAUACAUUAUGAAGUGCUCCCAAAAAUUCAUUGGCUUUCAUAAUCCGAACUCUGUCUCAUAAUCAUUUAUGAUUUUGGUUAAUUGAUUUAAAUUUUCUAAUAGGUGGUGAAUGGUGUCUUGGGUUUCAUUGGGUUUGGUAGUAAAAUCAUAAUAUGUGAUUUUGGAAUAGGUUAUUUAGUUUUUUUUUCUGUUUAUGAUGUUAUCUCAUAGAGAAGAUUAUGAGGAAAUUUGAAAAGGAUGGUUAGUACAUGUAAAUUUCUUAAUAGUUUAUGUUAUACUUUAAAUUUUUCCCUUUAUAUAUUACAUGAUCUGGUUGUAGUUAUAUCCAAUAGGUAUAACAGUUUUUUUUGUGCUUACAGUCUAGUAGAUGUGAAAGUCUUAAAGUUAUUGUUGUAACUACUCCAGGGACUUAUUAUAUAGUGUGAGAUAUUUGAUGUUUUGAAUUUCUUAUUUGUGUGUCUUGAACUUUCAUUUGAUUUGUUUGUUGACUUGUACUAAAAUAUAUAUGCACAAACAUCAUCUUAUAUGGGUACAAACUUUCGUUUGAUUUCUUGGUCAUUGGAUUUGCUUAUUUACGCAGUAGAAGAAGAUAUACCAUUAGCAGCAAUAAUUUCUAUUGAUGUUUACUCAUUAGCUACUUACUCACUUAUACUAUCUUGGGAGCUAUUUUAGGUGUCUAACUUUCACUUUGGUGAGUGUUUGGUUUCAAAAAAUUUAGCUGGUCAAUGCCUAAAAUUGAGUUGUUUCCAUUUUUAAUGUUAUUUGUUUCUAUUUUUUAUGUUAGAUGAGGUUAAAUGCUAGUUGUUUUCAUUUCACAACAAACUAUAGUGUCUAUUCCGAGAUUAUGUUAUUUCCAUUUCGCAACAAGCUAUGAAAGAUAUUGCUACAAAUUUUGUUUUAGAACAUAUCCCUUUCUACUAAUGAUCUCGUCUUGUUGUGGCUUUCAAUGUGGAAGUGGCUGUGAUGGGGGCUAGCCCAUUUUCUACUUGGAGAUACCUUGUCCAUCAUGGUGUUGUGACUGAAGUGUGUGACCCGUAUUUCGAUGAUACUGAUUAUUCUCAUCCUGGUUGCGAGCUUGGAUUUCUAACUCCGAAAUGUGCUAGAAAGUGAGUUGACAAGAACCAAUUCAAGAAGAAUUCAAAGCAUUAAAAUAAUAAUGCAUACAUAAUCAAGUCCGACCCCCACAGUAUUAUGGAUGAAGUUUAUAUGAAUGGUCCAAUUGAACUUUCAUUCACCAUUUAUGAGCUUCUUGCAAAUCAGAUGGGGAUGGUUACUUCAUGAUCAGGAGAGGAACAAAUGAGUGUGGUAUCGAAGAUGAUAUGGUUGCUGGUCUGCUUUCAAAGUGAAAUAUUAUCAAAGAGGUUGCAAGUGCUGAUGCCUUUUCGGAUGCUUCGUAUUGAUUUUAAAACUUUUCAUUUACACUCAAUGUUCAAGCAGAAAAUAAAAGGACUCCAAAUUUCUACUAGUAUCAUCAUAUUAUACUCUAUUAGUUUAGAAUUCAAUUAUUUUAUUUAUGGAUAAGUUGGAAUUUAUCUUUUGUAUCAUAUAAUGAACACAGAAGAACAUAUUAUUGGUUGAAUACCUCCAUAUAUAUAUAUAGGGCAAGACUAUAGUAGGACUUAGCAAAAA